GAUGAACGCUGGCGGCGUGCCUAAUACAUGCAAGUCGAGCGAACGGACGAGAAGUUUGCUUCUCUGACGUUAGCGGCGGACGGGUGUGUAACACGUGUAUAACCCACCUAUAUGACUGGGAUAACUUCGGGAAACCGUAGCUUAUACCGGAUAAUAUCUUGAACCGCAUGGUUCAAAAGUGAAAGACGGUCUUGCUGUCACUUAUAGAUGGAUCCGCGCUGCAUUAGCUAGUUGGUAAGGUAACGGCUUAUCACGGCUAGGAUGCAUAACCGACCUGAGAGGGUGAUCGGCCACACUGGAGCUGAGACGCGGUCCAGACUCCUACGGGAGGCAGCAGUAGGGAAUCUUCCGCAGUGGGCGAAAGCCUGACGGAGCAACGCCGCGUGAGUGAUGAAAGUCUUCGGAUCGUAAAACUCUGUUAUUAGGGAAGAACAGAUGUGUAAGUAACUGUGCACAUCUUGACGGUACCUAAUCAGAAAGCAACGGCUAACUACGUG
RNAcentral lists this ribosomal RNA (497 nucleotides) under uncultured bacterium. RNAcentral describes it as "partial 16S ribosomal RNA". It matches the Rfam family "Bacterial small subunit ribosomal RNA", at positions 28 to 507 of the family's 1533-position model. The record is from RNAcentral.